GAAACAACACGAGGGGGGAAACUCGCAGAGAGAAAAAUGUGUGUAGAUAAAUGCUAGGUAGAAAUUGAUAGACAUUGUAGUAGUACUUUUAAUGUUCCUCGUUUUAAUUCAACAGUUUAUUUAUAUAUCGCUAUAACGUUAUGUCUCGCGGUCGUUUUUAUUUCUAAUGUGCAGUUAAAAAAGAAACGAUACGUCCGGUUUGUGGAUCAAUCAUUAUGAUUGAUUACAGAGAGCGGAAUACUGUUCCUUUAGCUGAUAUCUUCUUCUAUCAGGGUGAAGAGCGAGAGAUGACAAUACACUGCUUGUGCUCCAGAGCUUACGUCAAAUCUGAAGUAGUAAAGAUAGUGAGCCCUCACUGUGUAACACUGACUACUAAGUUUACAUGCGAUCGAGAAUUGUAUCGGUCAGAUUUGAAAGCCAUACUGAAUCAGACAGACAGUCAAUUGCAAGUAGAUUUUGAAGCUAAUGAUGGGGAAGAGCUUUUGGAGGACCUUAACUGUUCUGUGGAUGAGGAGGAUGAGGAAGAAGAGGCGGUUGCUGAUGAAGAGACCAUGCUAAUGGCCAGUUUGGGGCUUCCUGUGGAGUUUGUCAGCUCAUCGAAACAGAGGAAAGCUGGCCAAGUUUUAGCAAGAGCGAAGAACAAAAGUACCAUCAAUUGUUUGGAAGCCCCCUCAGAUGAUGACUAUGAAGAGAAACAGCAGUGUGCUGUGAAUGAGAUCGCUGAGACCCCCGCCGAACAGCCGUGUUCCGCGUCAGAAGAGGCCUGGCUGAGCUACUGGCAGCAGCAUGGGGAGGGUCUGCUGUGGCAGAGCUGGCUGGAGAAACAACCUAAUAUCUCCUGCAGUUCGACACAGGACUGUUCCCGCUCAGAAGCAGACUGGGCCGAGCACUACCAUCAAACAUACCAGUACUACUGGGAGCAGUUUCACUACUGGGCCGCCCAGGGUUGGACAGUGGAUGAGACCUACAGCACCAUUGCUGCUUCCGAGGAAAACCAGGGCAGCCAAGGAGAAACAGAGGCACUCGAGAAUCUGACAGAAGAAAGGUCAAAGGCAGACGUUACCCAUCUCAUAAGCAGUCUGAGCUUAUUGACUGAGGAAGUUGACGGGGAGAAAGGCGACCAGCAGUCUCUGGUCUGUAACUGCGCUGAUGAGCCCUGUGAUGGCGGAAACCGCAAAAGGCCAUCAUCACAUACAGCCUGCACUGACAGUUCUGAUGGCAACAUGAAACAGACCUCUGCACCAUUGAGUAAUUGGAGUGGACAGCCCGUAAAGAGCAGAUCAAACGAUGAAGAUCAGAGCGAUGAUGAUGAUGAACCUCCAGAGAACAGACGAGCCAAAGUGAAGAGAGCUCAUGAGCUGGAUGUUGAGGAGCUUGCGGAGGUGCCAGUUGAGGAGGCGUGGGAUGCCCUCGGUCUGAGACGUGGUCCACAGCCCAAGUUUGACAGUGUUGUGAAGCUGAAACAAGGCCAAGCUCCAUACCCUGGCAGAAGGAGUGAGGAGAACAGAAAGCCUCCUGACGGAAGAAAAAAAGCAGCCUGCAAAAUCAACAAGCACAUCUUCUUUACUGAUGAUGGACCACAAACCACAAAGCCAAAGAUCAGCAAAGUCCUUCAAAAAGUCCAGAGUUUCCUUCAGCAGGUUCAGACUGACCCUGACUCUGAGGAGGUGACUCCAACCUCCAUGCCUGAAGCCCUGACUGAGCCAUGUGAGGGAGCAGAAGAUGGAAGUCUACUUACGCGAAAGGAAGACAGGGAAAAAACUGAUGAAACGGAGUUUGAGGAGACACCUCAGCUCAGCAGAAGAUGUAAACAAAGUGAGAAACUUCAGCAGAACAUUCAGCCUGAGCCAGAAGAUAGACAGGACAGUGAUUCCGAUCCUCGAGGAGAGCUGCAGCCCUUAGACGUCCCUGACUUCUUACUCCCCGAUGCUCCUGAGGGCGCUGAGGGAGAGAGCGUGCAAGCCUCUAAAAAGAACAAGAGAAGGAACCGGAAAAGGAGAAAGGAUGUGGAGAUGCCACCUGAGAUUGCAGCAGAACCUGAGCUGGCCAAGUACUGGGCACAACGCUACCGUCUGUUUUCCAGGUUCGAUGAGGGCAUCAGACUAGAUCAUGAGGGCUGGUUCUCAGUGACCCCUGAGAAGAUUGCAGAGCACAUUGCUCUGAGAGUGCAGGACAGCUUCAGCACAGAGCUCAUUAUCGAUGCCUUCUGUGGUGUGGGUGGCAAUACCAUUCAGUUUGCCCUCACUGGUAAAAGAGUGAUCGCCAUCGACAUCGACCCCGUACGGCUGGCUCUGGCACAGCACAAUGCAGAAGUGUACGGUGUGGCGCAGCAGAUAGAGUUUGUGCAGGGAGACUUCCUGCAGUUGGCUCCGCGCCUGCGAGGAGACAUGGUUUUCCUCAGUCCCCCGUGGGGAGGACCAGAGUACCUCAGUGCUGACGUCUUCAACAUCAAGACCAUGAUGACUCCAGAUGGAUAUCCUUUGUCUUUCACUCUAGGCAGUGCCUCUCUUUUCAAAUGAGGUUUUCAUUAGAAUUUGGAAGAGAAGGUUCAGAUUUGUCCUUUCACCUCACUCCUCUUUGUGGAAGUUAUGAUAUACUUUCUAAUGUAUGUGUUCAAUGUGCUUCAAACUCCUUAUUCCUGCUUCCUUAACUAUCUAUACAGUUGAAAUUUUCAGGUUGUCAAAAAUGAUUUCAGACAAUAUUGUCUAUUUUCUUCCUCGAAACACAGACAUGGAACAGAUCGCGGCGCUCGCCGGCCCAGGUGGGAAGGUGGAAGUGGAGCAGAACUUUCUGAACAACAAACUGAAAACAAUUACUGCAUACUUUGGCAAUUUAAUACAGUCAAAAACAUAAAACCUUUUAUUUUGACCUUUGACAGUCAUUUAUGUUAGUUGUACUUACUGCACUUAAAUUGUACUGGCAAACAUUAUCUGUUUUGUAAAGCCAUUGAAUGAUUUUACAUAAAAUGUAAAUUUUAUGUGUUUUUGUGAUGCUGCUAGUAUAAUGUUUAACAUAGAACCUUUUUUUUUCAGUGUUGAUAUUUACCU
Carassius carassius (crucian carp) is the source of this 3047-nucleotide RNA transcript. It is a transcript of the gene named trimethylguanosine synthase 1, with no coding region annotated. The record is from RefSeq and is a predicted model, not a curated record. NCBI's taxonomy places the organism in Eukaryota, Metazoa, Chordata, Actinopteri, Cypriniformes, Cyprinidae. The transcript is spliced from 13 exons.